This 497-nucleotide ribosomal RNA is filed under the name uncultured bacterium. RNAcentral's name for it is "partial 16S ribosomal RNA". It matches the Rfam family "Bacterial small subunit ribosomal RNA", at positions 28 to 507 of the family's 1533-position model. The record is from RNAcentral.
GAUGAACGCUGGCGGCGUGCCUAAUACAUGCAAGUCGAGCGAACAGACGAGGAGCUUGCUCCUCUGACGUUAGCGGCGGACGGGUGAGUAACACGUGGAUAACCUACCUAUAAGACUGGGAUAACUUCGGGAAACCGUAGCUAAUACCGGAUAAUAUAUUGAACCGCAUGGUUCAAUAGUGAAAGACGGUUUUGCUGUCACUUAUAGAUGGAUCCGCGCCGCAUUAGCUAGUUGGUAAGGUAACGGCUUACCAAGGCAACGAUGCGUAGCCGACCUGAGAGGGUGAUCGGCCACACUGGAACUGAGACACGGUCCAGACUCCUACGGGAGGCAGCAGUAGGGAAUCUUCCGCAAUGGGCGAAAGCCUGACGGAGCAACGACGCGUGAGUGAUGAAGGUCUUCGGAUCGUAAAACUCUGUUAUUAGGGAAGAACAAAUGUGUAAGUAACUAUGCACGUCUUGACGGUACCUAAUCAGAAAGCCACGGCUAACUACGUG